RNAcentral lists this non-coding RNA (21 nucleotides) under Rattus norvegicus (Norway rat). The record is from RNAcentral. Lineage: Eukaryota; Metazoa; Chordata; Mammalia; Rodentia; Muridae.
UAGGGAAGAAAGAGCCAAGGG